Molecule: ribosomal RNA, 511 nt
Filed under: uncultured bacterium
Lineage: Bacteria
Description: partial 16S ribosomal RNA
Rfam family: Bacterial small subunit ribosomal RNA
Source: RNAcentral
GACAAACGCUGGCGGCAUGCCUAACACAUGCAAGUCGAACGGACAGAACAGGGAAGCUUUUCGGAGUGGAACUGGAAAGUUAGUGGCGGAUGGGUGAGUAACGCGUGGACAACCUACCUUGUAAAGGGGAAUAACCUCGAGAAAUCGAAGCUAAUACCCCAUAAUAACCUUGCUUCGCAUGAAGUAAGGAGGAAAGGCGGCCUUAGCGCUGUCGAUACAAGAUGGGUCCGCGUCUGAUUAGCUAGUUGGUGAGGUAAAGGCUCACCAAGGCGACGAUCAGUAGCCGGCCUGAGAGGGUGAACGGCCACAUUGGGACUGAGACACGGCCCAAACUCCUACGGGAGGCAGCAGUGGGGAAUCUUCCGCAAUGGGCGAAAGCCUGACGGAGCAAUGCCGCAUGAGUGAAGAAGGCCUUCGGGUUGUAAAACUCUGUCCUUAUCGAAGAGAGAGUGUUGUAGUAACUGACAAUACUAGGACGGUAGAUGAGGAGGAAGCCCCGGCUAACUAUGUG